RNAcentral lists this ribosomal RNA (440 nucleotides) under uncultured bacterium. RNAcentral's name for it is "partial 16S ribosomal RNA". It matches the Rfam family "Bacterial small subunit ribosomal RNA", at positions 338 to 795 of the family's 1533-position model. The record is from RNAcentral.
CCUACGGGAGGCAGCAGUGGGGAAUAUUGCACAAUGGGGGAAACCCUGAUGCAGCAACGCCGCGUGAGUGAAGAAGUAUUUCGGUAUGUAAAGCUCUAUCAGCAGGGAAGAAAAUGACGGUAACUGAGUAAGAAGCCCAGGCUAACUACGUGCCAGCAGCCGGGGUAAUACGUAGGGGGCAAGCGUUAGCCGGAUUUACUGGGUGUAAAGGGAGCGUAGACGGUGAUGCAAGUCUGAAGUGAAAGACCGAGGCUCAACCCUGGGACUGCUUUGGAAACUGUAUGGCUGGAGUGCUGGAGAGGCAAGCGGAAUUCCUAGUGUAGCGGUGAAAUGCGUAGAUAUUAGGAAGAACACCAGUGGCGAAGGCGGCUUGCUGGACUGUAACUGACGUUGAGGCUCGAGAGCGUGGGGAGCAAACAGGAUUAGAUACCCCAGUAGUC